AUUGAACGCUGGCGGCAGGCCUAACACAUGCAAGUCGAGCGAGCGGCGGACGGGUGAGUAAUGUCUGGGAAACUGCCUGAUGGAGGGGGAUAACUACUGGAAACGGUAGCUAAUACCGCAUACCAUCAGAUGUGCCCAGAUGGGAUUAGCUAGUAGGUGGGGUAAUGGCUCACCUAGGAGACGAUCCCUAGCUGGUCUGAGAGGAUGACAAGCCACACGGGAAAUGCGACAAGGUCCAUACUACUCAGGGCGGCAGCAGUGGGGAAUAUUGGAAAAUGGGCGCAAGCCGGAGGCAGCCAUGCAGCAUGUGUGAGGAUGGCCUUCGGGUUGUAAAGCACUUUAAGCGAGGAGGCGUUAUCGCAGAAAAGCACCGGCUAACUCCGUGCCAGCAGCCGCGGUAAUUC
Molecule: ribosomal RNA, 404 nt
Filed under: uncultured bacterium
Lineage: Bacteria
Description: partial 16S ribosomal RNA
Rfam family: Bacterial small subunit ribosomal RNA
Source: RNAcentral